AUUGAACGCUGGCGGAAUGCUUUACACAUGCAAGUCGAACGGUAGAGGGGGCAACCCCUUGAGAGUGGCGAACGGGUGAGUAAUAUAUCGGAACGUGCCCAGUCGUGGGGAUAACGUAGCGAAAGUUACGCUAAUACCGCAUACGAUCUACGGAUGAAAGCGGGGGAUCGCAAGACCUCGCGCGAUUGGAGCGGCCGAUAUCAGAUUAGGUAGUUGGUGAGGUAAAGGCUCACCAAGCCGACGAUCUGUAGCUGGUCUGAGAGGACGACCAGCCACACUGGGACUGAGACACGGCCCAGACUCCUACGGGAGGCAGCAGUGGGGAAUUUUGGACAAUGGGCGCAAGCCUGAUCCAGCAAUGCCGCGUGCAGGAUGAAGGCCU
This 382-nucleotide ribosomal RNA is filed under the name uncultured bacterium. RNAcentral's name for it is "bacterial SSU rRNA". It matches the Rfam family "Bacterial small subunit ribosomal RNA", at positions 30 to 417 of the family's 1533-position model. The record is from RNAcentral.